GGAUAGCCACUGGAAAUGGUGGGUAAUACCGUAUAAUCCCCGCGGGGGAUAGAUUUAUCGCUAUUAGAUGAGCCUAUGUCGGAUUAGCUAGUUGGUGGGGUAAUGGCCUACCAGGGCAGUGAUCUGUAGCUGGUCUGAGAGGAUGAUCAGCCACACUGGAACUGAGACACGGUCCAGACUCCUACGGGAGGCAGCAGUGGGGAAUAUUGGACAAUGGGCGCAAGCCUGAUCCAGCUAUGCCGCGUGAGUGAGGAAGGCCUUAGGGUUGUAAAACUCUUUCAGUAGGGAAGAUAAUG
RNAcentral lists this ribosomal RNA (296 nucleotides) under Anaplasma phagocytophilum. RNAcentral describes it as "partial 16S ribosomal RNA". It matches the Rfam family "Bacterial small subunit ribosomal RNA", at positions 141 to 453 of the family's 1533-position model. The record is from RNAcentral. Lineage: Bacteria; Pseudomonadati; Pseudomonadota; Alphaproteobacteria; Rickettsiales; Anaplasmataceae.